Molecule: long non-coding RNA, 493 nt
Organism: Eriocheir sinensis (Chinese mitten crab)
Lineage: Eukaryota; Metazoa; Arthropoda; Malacostraca; Decapoda; Varunidae
Exons: 3
Source: RefSeq, a predicted model, not a curated record
CAGAGAUGGCAGAAUAAAAGAAAACUGAGUAUUAGACAUCUGGUGAGCUGCAGGAAGGGUUGGGGGCGAGGCUGUGUUAUAUGGCUAAAAGUGUUUGCAAGACACUCCGCCAUGCCACUGGGAUCACUAACUGUUGACCCGUGCCCCAUCAGGACGUCAUUGUCUCCAGUCGUGUGGUCCAGUGAGUCACCGCUCUACCGCACGACAGUGACCCCAAGGAAGUCCCGGUCCACAGCAGGGAUGUGGCCACCCCUGGCCACAGCCCCAAGUGUUCCCUGGUGGGCCAUACUCACUGAGCUCCUCCUCCUCCUCCUCCUCCUCACCCUGCUGCCGUGGAAGGUGAGGGAGAGAGAGAGGGACUUUGAUCACUGUCUUCAACACCAAUAAUCAUAAUCUAUUUACCAAUGAGCUACAUGAAAUAAACCAGGAGGAACUACUAAAUCUAGAAAAUUCAAAUGAUAAUUUUAAUCUUUUCUAUGAAAGAGUUUAUGAA